CUUCCUACGGGACGCAGCAGUGGGGAAUAUUGCACAAUGGGGGAAACCCUGAUGCAGCGACGCCGCGUGAAGGAAGAAGUAUUUCGGUAUGUAAACUUCUAUCAGCAGGGAAGAAAAUGACGGUACCUGACUAAGAAGCCCCGGCUAACUACGUGCCAGCAGCCGCGGUAAUACGUAGGGGGCAAGCGUUAUCCGGAUUUACUGGGUGUAAAGGGAGCGUAGACGGCUGUGCAAGUCUGAAGUGAAAUGCCGGGGCCCAACCCCGGAACUGCUUUGGAAACUGUACAGCUAGAGUGCAGGAGGGG
RNAcentral lists this ribosomal RNA (305 nucleotides) under uncultured bacterium. Its description in RNAcentral is "bacterial SSU rRNA". It matches the Rfam family "Bacterial small subunit ribosomal RNA", at positions 335 to 657 of the family's 1533-position model. The record is from RNAcentral.